Molecule: non-coding RNA, 72 nt
Organism: Ipomoea triloba (trilobed morning glory)
Lineage: Eukaryota; Viridiplantae; Streptophyta; Magnoliopsida; Solanales; Convolvulaceae
Source: the annotation of a RefSeq genome assembly
GGGUCCAUAGCUUAGUGGUAGAGCAUUUGAUUGUAAAUCAAGCGAUUGUUGGUUCAAACUCGGUUGGACCCU